This 292-nucleotide long non-coding RNA is filed under the name Elaeis guineensis (African oil palm). Its description in RNAcentral is "long non-coding RNA (EGUI_LNC047750)". Lineage: Eukaryota; Viridiplantae; Streptophyta; Magnoliopsida; Arecales; Arecaceae. The record is from RNAcentral.
CAAUCAAGUACUUAUCAAGUCAGUGUAUGAGUCAAGAUAGGAUUGACCCCUCUGAAUAAGUAGGAGUUAAUGUAUCAGUGUAUUUUAAUUUCAUAAAAUCUUGAUCAGAGUAAUUCAUAUGAUGCAUUUUAAAGGUUGAAAUACAAUAUGAUCGACUAUUUUAGGAUUGACAGUUAAACCCUAUGUCAUCUUGAGCAUUAGGGUCAAAGGGAUGAAUCAUACAGUAACUAUACAUCAAUAGAUUCUAGAAUAUUGCUCUACAAUCUUUCGGCCUAUUUGGAUGUCGGGUCCC